ACCCAGGGAGGUCGGGGAAGAGGGUUGCUCGGCCCGGCCGGGGAGGGCUGCGCGGGCGGGAGCGGUGCGCCCCGAGGUGGCGGGCAGUGGGCCGGGCGCAGCGGGGACAGGUCACCGAGAGCCCGGCGCUCCCCUUUCUUUCCUGUGGGGCUGCAGCUCCUUCUUUGUAAGGAAGUGCGUGUGCUGGAAGCGGUGUCUGACGCGGAGUCAGGGGCUUGGGAGGCCAAGAGAGGGGACGAUUGACGAAUUGUGCCGAGGUCCCGGUCGUUUUUGCAGUCCGGAGAGUGUGUGUGCGGCCAGGACUUGAUUCGUUCGACCGGCAGCGACAGGCUCAACAACAACAACAACAGCCGAGUUUGGCACUUCCUUCCCAGUAUAAAUAAUGUACCUAAAAUGGCUGACAUUACAAGCCUAAACCUCUGUUGUUUCCUACUUUCGUUUCUAAGCUGAACAGCACUUGGACUAACUCCAGCAACUAUGUUCUUUAAAAGGAGGGAGUAAAGUGCUGAUAUAGGAGAGAAAAUGGUUGCAGGAUGAGAGCAUGAGAGAAAGUGAAGGCCGACUAACCCAGUAAGUUCUGCGUUACCCAUGGCAAAUGGCUGUUUAGACCCUGGUUCUUACACUUUCUUGUUUUCCCUAUUUGCACAAUCAGGAAUGAAAGGUUUGAUAAUUAAGCUUUUCAUUUGCGGUCAUGGUUUUUGUUUUCGUGUUUUUUGGGGAGUGAGAAGGGACAUAAAAUUCAAGGCUGGCCAUUUUUACUGUAACAAUAGAAUGCUCUCGGGAUUGAGAGCUUGGUUCUCUUUAACCAAAGUGCAUCUUAUUACAUAGUUACAUAAUUUCGUUUUUGCAAAUAUUGGCCAGUGAGACUUUCACAGUCAUUACAUUUUGGUUCUCUAUAAGGUCAUUAAUAUCUCAAGUGAGAGUUUAGUGCUGGGAAAUAAAUGAAUUGCCUCUGUGCAUCCCAAUGCCAUGGCAGGACCUCCUGUGUACACGUACAUCCCUGACAGGAGACUGCUGUUGCAUAUUGGGUGUGCAAGGUUACAUAUUGUACAGUUGAAGGACAGUUUACCUGCCGGGAUUGUAGUCUUCCCAACUAGACAGAAACGAGUAUAAUAUACUUGGCAUAAUAAGCCUGUAAGACCUCAUUUAAUUCAACUCUGACACGUAAAAGGUUUGUGAAUGGAAGUAUUUUUUAAGCAGAAAUAUCUCAAAUAUAUUUAUGGUACAGGCCUAUUUAAAUUAAUUUAGAAUUUGACUUACAAGAUUUUUACUAUGCAUUACCAAAGCUUGACUUGCGUGUAAAUGUACAUAGAAAAAUGUACUAAGUAGUCAUUGAGGGAGAUUUUAUUUCUCUUAGUUUUAUCAUAUCAUAACUUAAAUGCCUGGAGUGUCUAUUCAAAAGCCACAUUCUUUUUCCAAAAGGAAACAUAACUUUCUGAAUUACCAUUUUAACUAAAGCGUCUCAAACUGCUUUGUGUAUCACAGUAGCAGUAAAGGGAAGAUCCAGAAAAAAAAAAUUAUAUCUUUUUGGGUUAUCUGUGAAAUCAUCCCCUUAAAUUUUUUGGCAAAUGUGGGAUUUUAUUAGAGCUUAAAGACUAAAGGAAAAUAAAUUAAGGACUUUAGACCAUAAGUGUUGCAGGAUUUGACAAUUCUGAAUUUCUGAAUGAGGUUAUUUUUGCUUAAAUGAUAUAGAAAAUAUUAACACUGGAGCUGUGUUUCACAAUGAAAGUCUUUUACAAAGUAGACAGAUGAAAGUUGAAAAUUGGGAAUUAUAACCCAAGGACAUAAUUUUUGAAAAAUCUCUGCUUAAAUUGUGAUUAUCCCUUUUAAUUAAUACUUACAAUACAUAUUUUUAAUAGCUUUAAGGAAAUCUACAAUACAACCUCAUUUUAUAAGUGUUACCAACAACUGAAUGAACAAGAUUAUUUGAAAUUAUUGCUCAUUUUUUAAGCUGUUUUAUUAGAGAAAAAAUAACUUUUUGCAGUAUUUCUAUAAUUGUACUGUUUGGGGGAAAAAUCAGAUAAGAAUGAACAUAGGCUUUUUAUUCUUUAUAUAUAUAUUUUUUUAUUGCAUUUUAGGUUUUGGGGUACAUGUGAAGAACAUGCAGGAUUGUUGCAUAGGUACAUACAUGGCAAUGUGGUUUGCUGCCUCCAUCCCCAUCACCUAUAUCUGGCAUUUCUUCCCAUGUUAUCCCUCCUGACUUUUUAUUCUUAAACAGAAAAGUUUGAAUCUUGAGUUGUAGAGAGAUGAGAAAGUCACCCUUGUUUUUUAUGGUAGAGGGAUAUUCUAAUUUUUCACUUAAUGUUUUAUCGUUCAUUACUGCUAGUAAGUUACCAGCAAUAAUUUUAUGAUGUAGCACUAAUAGAAAUAUGAAAAAAGAGAAAUAAAUUAUGCACAUAUAUAAUAUCACUUCGAAGUUAAAUAACCCGGACAUUUAUUUGGGAAAGUGUUACUAAGUAUGGUAUUGGAUAUUUUAUACUUUGAAAUUUUGAAAUAUUUGCAUAAAGCAUUUUUUGGCAUAGUUGAAUUUCAUACUUUAAAAAACAGGUUUGGUGGAUGUUUGUAUUUCUUUUAAUGUUUAACUUUAAGGCUCAAAUUAUUGUUAUUAUUUUUAGUGAAAGCAAGUUUAUUAAGAAAGUAAAGGAAGAAAAGAAUGGCUACUCCAUAGGCAGAGCAGCCAAGGCUCAAAUUAUUUUUAAAAAUUGUUUGUUUUCAGAAUGAGUUAAGGAUAAAGCUUAAAUCUUAACUAUUUUCUCUGCUUAUAUAUGAUUAUGUUUUAAAUCAUUUCAUAUAAAAAUUUUAAAAAAUGUAUUGUCAAUUCAAUCACUUAAAUCUCUGCAGCAUCCAAAAGCAGACUCAUUUUUUAUGCUGGGAAAAAUGAUUUUUGGAAGUCAGUCUAUUAGCUUUGCAUUAUCAGUUUUCAGUUUUCCAUUUUAUGCAACUUUCUCUAAUUCAUUUUUUCCUUGAUUUUAUUUAAUGCUGGGACAUAAAAUUUCCCAUCUUUUAGUUUUACCUAGGGCAGUGCUAGGCAUGUUAAGCAGAGAAGGCAAAUUCAGUGCCUCCUGGGCUGAAGCAGAUGAAUUGAUGAAGCUGGGCUUUUUGCCUAUGAAACAAGUAAAAAUAUUCUUGGUUUUCCUGCUGGGCUCAGUGUUCACACCUGUAAUCCUAGUACUUUGGGAGGCGGAGGCCAGUGGAUAAUCUGAGGUCAGGAGUUUGAGAUAUACCUGGCCCACAUGGCAAAACCCCAUCUCUACUAAAAAUACAAAAAAGUUUAGCUGGGCGUAGUGGCGUGUGCCUGUAAUCCCAGUUUCUCGGGAGGUUGGCAGGAGAAUUGCUUGAACCCAGGAGGUGGAAGUUGCAGUGAGCUGAGAUCACGCCACAGCACUCCAGCCUGGGUGAUAGAGCAAGACUCUGUUUCAAAAAAAAACAAACAAACAUAUUUUUGGUUUUCAGUUUUAAUCAUGAGUCCAGUGUUGCUUGAUCCUCUAGUUUUCAAAGGGAAGUACUUCUAUUUUAAUUCAUAAAAGAAUUUUAGUCCAGAACACUUAAGGCAUCGGCCACUGUUUUGUAAUCUUCUUUAAAGUGGAAAGCAGAAAUGGCAAAUUAUAGCCUAUGUCUUCAAAUAGUACCUGCCUCCUGUUUUUCUCUAGCCCAUGGGGUAAGAAUGAUUUAAUAUUUUUGAGAAAAAUAUCAAUGGAAUAUUUGUCCUUUUUGCCCAGUAUCCUCACUGAAUUGGUGGGGAGGGGCUGCUACUGUACAGGAAGCAGUAUUGUGUAGUGAUUGAGAAUUCAGGCUACACAGUCAUUCUUUAAGGUUUAAAUUUUGUCUCUACCACUUACUGUGAUACUUUGGGUAAAUUACUUUAGUUCUCUGUGUCUCAGCUUCUUCAUCAGCAAAAUGGGGCAAAUAAUCUGUAACAGCAAUAGCACAAUACCUGGAACAGAGUUAAAAAUCAGUAGAUUUCAGGUACUAUUAUUAAAGUCAGAGUUUUCUCCUCGUCAUUCUUGUUUUGUAAUAUUGCUUCUUAUAUUGCUGUUGCUGCUUAUCCCUACCUCACAUGUCAAUAACAAUAUUGUUGGUACUUUUUUUCCCAGCAAAGUAUUCUGGUAAAGAUUCAUUCCUGCAAUAUAAAAACUCUUAGAAUUCAGUAGCUAUACUCAUUUUCAUUUAAAAGUGUUAUUUAUUCAUUACAUAAUAGGUGUUAAUAGAAUUUGAGUUUUAUCAAAGUAAUGCUGAAUUUUAAUAUGCAAAUACAUAGUCCUGCCCUAUGUCAGAAGAACACACUUUUUAAAAAUUGUAGCAUCAUUGUAUACAGUAAAAUGCAUAGAUCUUGAGUGUAUAGUUAGAUAAUUUUAAGUGUAUAUAUCUAAGCUCUAACUCCCAAUCAAGCUCGAACAUUGUCAUCCACUCAGAAAGUUAUCUCAUGUCCUUUUACAAUUUGUUCUCUUUAGAGGUAACCACAAUUCUAAUUUCUCUCCCCAUAGAUUAAUUCAAAGCAAUCACAUUCACUCAUUAGCUUCUUCUGGUCUUUUAUUACCAUGGUGACCACUAGACCCUCUUCUGUCUUUAUGCAAUUUAGAAAAAAUUGCCCUCUCUGGUGUUUUGGAGGAUAGAGCAUGAGCUAGAUUCUAGCCCUACUGAUCCCAUUGUUCUGGUGUCCUUGUACUGUAAACAACCAGCCCAACCAUAGGUGGUGAUGAUCUUAACUCCAUGUUUCUCUUUUUUUGGUGGGGGUUGGGGGUGGUUCAGGGGAGAACCAGAGUCUGGCUCAUUUGAGUGUAAUGGUGUAAUCUUGGCUCACUGCAACCUCUGCCUCCUAAGUUCAAAUGAUUCUCCUGCCUCAGACUCUCAGGUCGCUGGGAUUACAGGUGCCCGCCACCACUCCUGGCUAAUUUUUGUAUUUUUAGUAGAGACAGGGAUUCACCAUGUUGACCAGACUGGUCUCGAACUCCUGACCUCAACAAGACAACUGGAUUUUCCUGUCAGCUUCUGCAUUCAGUCUGUUGUGACAUGGUGCUUAGCUUCUGGAAAAUUGCACUGUACAAUUUUUAUUGUAUAUGAACAUUGCAAGAGAAUGAAAGUGAAAAAGGCAAUUUUAUUAUGUAGUUUAUUAAACUAACACAGGCUUAGUUUUCUUAUGAAAAAAGUUUGAUCUUAUGGACUCCCCGAAAGGGUGUGUUCCUGGACCACAUUUGGAGAACCUCUACUCUUAAUACUUGCUUAUACUUCUGUUUCAUGGUUCGUUUUCAUUUGUUUAUUUUUUGCAGUUUUAGAUAAUACCUAUUGGUAAUAUCUACAUGGAAGGUGAAUAUUUAGUUUUUUCUGUCUAUUUACAUACUGUACACAUCUUCUGUUUUAGUGGUUUCUGGUUAAAUUGAUAUUUUGUGUUUUUUUGUUAUAAUUAACAUAUACAUUAUUUACAUUUGAGUAUUGUAGUGUACUUUUACUUCCUUUCUUGUAAAACAACUUAUUUUCCCUGGAUUUCAUCAUGCUUCUUGGGGCAGGGGAGAGGGUUCCUUAAUUUUCUGUAUAUUUAUUGCUAAUUCAGACUCUGACAGCAGUGUAAUUGUCUUUCUGUAUCUUCAGACUCACCAGGUAACUUACCAAGUUUUUCUUUCUUCUUUUUUUGAUGAUUUUUUGCCCAUCAUUCUUUAGUUUUCUAGUCCAGACUGGUUGCACCCUAGGUGUGUUGCCAUACAAAUGUCAUGAGAGUCAUAAUCAUCUUGGAAGAAUUGCUUUUGUCUUCAUCACUUGCUAGAUCUGCAGUUUUAUAAAUCUGAAGAAAAAGUUUGUUAAAUUUUUAAAAAAUCAUAUGUGUCUGAGAAUUAUUAUUUCAUCUUCAUAUUGAUAAUUUAUCUGGGUGUAAAAUUCUAGGUUAGCAUUCAGCACUUUGAUGGCAGUGCUCCAUUAUCUUCUAAUGUGAUACCAUUCUGAUUCUGCAUUUGUGCAUGACGGUUUUUCCCCUCUUUAGUUGUCUACACGUUGGAGAUUUUCUCCUUAUACCUUGAUUUUUUUUUCUUUUAUGUUUUCAGCUUUCAGAAUUUUUAUUGACAUGACUUGCCUGCUGUCAUUCAUUUUAAUUCUCUGUGGCUUAAGGUUUAUUUGUUUUAUCCUUUUACUUUCACUUUAUUGAACUUUCAGGAGGAAGUAAACAAACAUUUAACUGGAAAUCAAUAUUAGAACUUCAACUCAGCUAUCCUGAUAGCUUUUUAAAGAAUUGUUAGAAUAUUUCCUUUUACAUUAAAAAUGGACUUACUGAUAAUUAAAAAUGGAUAAUAAUGGAAAUCGUCUGAAUUACUAUUAGCACUAAUUUAAGAUCAGACAGGGUAGUCUAGAAAGAUUGAUGAGGCACAUCCUCUAAUCUUCCUCUUCAAAGUUUCAAGAUUGUCUCCUUCAUGAGGAAUAUAAGAGGCAACUCAUUACCAACUUUGUAGUUUUGCUUUGUGGCAUUAUUACUCCAACUAACUUUAUAAAAGUUUCAUUUUUGUAAUUAAUAUUUUGCCUUUUACAUUUAUGUUGAAAUGCUUACAUGCCCGUGUGCCUUAGUUAUUUCCCUUUAUUGUUUUAGGUUCACAUGUAUAUGAUUUUAAUACUUUUGCUACCAUCCUUUGUAAUUUGAUGAACAAUAGAAAAAAGCCCUAUUAAUUUCCCAGUGUAUCAAAAGUAAUAUUAUUUCCUUUAUAAUAGUUAACAUAUGUAGGGCUUAUUAGUGUGGGUCAAUUUAAGUAAACCUUUUACAACAGCAGAAAUUCACGCUGUGGGCCAGGCAUGGUGGCUCAUAAUUCCAGCACUUUGGGAAGCUGAGACAGGAGAAUUGCUUGAGACCAGCCUGGGCAACAUGGUAAGACCCCCACCUCCACAAAAAAAUUAAAAAAUUAGCCAGGUGUGGUAGUGUACAUCUGUAGUUCCAGCUACUCUGGAAGCUGAGACGGGAGGAUCACUUGAGCCCAGAAGGUUGAGGCUGCAGUGAGCCAUGAUUGCACUAUUAUACUCUAGCUGGUUUAACUGGUGACAGAGCAAUAUCCUGUUUCAAAAAAAAAAUUAAUUAAAAUAUAUAUUUAAUAAAAUAAAAAUAAUAACAAAUUUGGCCUAUGUGGUUUCUGGUUAGAAAAGAGUGUUAUCCAAAUGUGACAUGGUAUCUGUCACUUCAUUUAUUACCAGAGUUAAUUUGUCUAAGCUGUUUAGUCCAUUUCCUUAAGAAGCACUUGGGGUCAAGAUAAUAUUCAGGCCUUAUUAGCUCUGUAAUAUUAGGCAAAUACUUCUACUUCUCUGGGCCUCAUAUUUAUCUGUAAAUGAUGUAUUGGAUUAAACUACAUUCAUGAUACUUCCAUAGGGGAUCUGUUUCUGAGAACUGUAUUGAUCAUAUAUUCAGAAGCACCUACUGCAUAGCCAGGUACCAUACCUGGAAUUUAAAAAUUGCUAAGCACCUCAACUUUCAAGAAACAUUGUGUAGCUAGGAAAGACCAACAAUCAGCUACGAAAAACAGAUUAGUCAAAACCUAUUUAAAUGCCUGUAUUUUAUCUUUCAAGGAAAUCACACCCCUGGAUCCAAGAGCCAGGAGAAUGGUGGAAUAAGGGAGCAACAUUAAAUAUUACCACUGAGUUUUAACUACACAUGCAUUCAGUGCUAGGCAGUAGAGCUCAUAGGGUCAAAGCACUUCUUGUAUGUAGAGACAAAUAUUCCUGAUCUCAAGAACUAGAAUUAUUUUUUCUAGUAGUCAUCUUAACAUUUAAAAUUCCAAACUUGGACAGAAAUUUUCUCUUAACUGUCCACAUUUAAACUAUAUUGUACUUUCAGACAAAUAUAGUUGGAAUUUUCUUACUGGAAGUUCUGCAUUUUAAAUGAAAUUACCCAUAUUUGAAUAUGAAUGUGUAGUAAUUAUCUUGUUGAAAGACAUUAAAAGCCAGCAUUUGUGUAAAAGUGAGUCUAGAUAAGAUUUGUUCUUUUUUUUUCUAUAACCUUGACACUAAAUUUUGUAAUGAAUUAUAUAAAAUUAGAGCAUUUGUAUUGUGCUUAAAAUUUUUAGGGAAACAGUUGAUAUUGGUAACAAUGUGGACUUGAGUUUUAUUCAGCCAAUGGUAGAGAAAAAUCUGUCUUUACCAAUUUAUCCAUCCCUGGUAAAGGAUAUUACUAAUAAUAACAUUUGUAUAUAAUGCUAUUGUUUACAAACAUUUGCCUGGUUGUGCUAGUCUAGGCUUUUUACUAUCCCAGUGCCUUUCACUCACCAAUAUGAAUUGGAAAUUCUGCUAAAAUUUCACUUAAAAAAAGGGUUACAGUUCUGUUGAGCGUAGACUGAAUAAACACUGUAUAGAAAUGAUGGUCAUCUUUUAAACUAUAUAGAAAAAAGAAUAGGGGAUUUUAAACUUAUAAAUAUAUUUUAAUAUUCUACUUUGCACUAGAUACUCUGCUUGUCUCUGCUACAGAAGUGAUUAAAUUAUGAUCCAGCUCCAAAUGCAUUGCAUUGACAGUCUGCCUGGUUUUUUUUUUUUUUUUCAGUUCCAACCUAUUUUUAUUUAACCUAGGACUGUGCUAAUUUUAUGUGAUGCUAAUAAUUUGGUUCAACUUUCGUAGAUUUCUCACAAUAGUUACAUUAUUAUGCAAUGGCUUUACAUUUUAAAUUUGUUUUUUUAUUCUGUAUUGCUUCUCUUAUAUUGCAGGUUUUGUUAACAAAAAAUUAGUGAGAAAUUUGUUUUGUAGACCUUUUAGUUUGAGAUUAAGUUCUCCUUUUUAAAGCUUUCUCUUGUUCUAAUUCCAGUACAGAAUAGUGCCAUAACUUUAUUAAUCAUAACAUGUCGGUAUAAGUCCCAGUUUUGACUCUAAACACUAAUUUAACUUAAUGAAAUCUAAUGUUGACAAAAGGUCAGAGGCCUUUGUGAUACAUAUCAUAGUACCUACAACUAUAAAGAGCAGCUUUCUGUGUAAUGCCAGCUAUUUGGAAAACUGCUUCCUUUUUAUGUUUCAAACAUAACAUUUAUUAUAUAGACUUCUUCACUAUGGUUGAGACAGUAGCAAUCUCAUUUCAAAAGGCAAAUUAUAAAGUCGAAUUCAGAUACUGAUUUAAGUGAAUAAGAAAAAAGGCAAAGAAAUGCUUCAUGUCCUCAUGGAUUGUUAACUUAUCAGCCAGAGAUUUUGUGUUUUACGUAUAGCAGAUAUAUUUGGUAAUCAAUGCAAUUAAUAAUUAGCAGAUCACCAGAGCAUGUCCUUUUGAUGCUUCCAUACUGAGGAAAGAAACCUAAUGUGGAAACCAAGUGAAUAUGUACCAGUCUACAAAACCCAGAACUUGAAACCCUUUAUGUGGGGAAGUAGUUUAGAUUGCUUAUUUAAUGUAAAUAGGAUUUCAGAAGGAAGUAUACCCAGUCAUAACUGGAAAUGAAGAUCAGGGUUCAAAACCUAGAAACAUGAUAGGAAAGAACUAGGUAUAUUUGGUCUCUAAGUAGGGAGGAAAAAAAAGGUGAGAGAGGAGUUGAAAAUACUAGAAUAUUGAUGGGAAAUCUAGCUUUUAAAAGUGCGAAUCACUGAAUUCUUUUAAUGUCCCAGCUGUUUCUGUUUUGGAAAGUAUUAUACCAGCCAAACAACACAUCUCUGGGCAGCUGGCCUAUGCACCUCCAUAUUUACCUAUGUUACCCAGCAUGUUUCUAAGUAACUAAAUCUGUUUCUGAAGGUUCAGUAUAUUUUGAGUUGAAUAAAUUGUUUCUACAUAUAUGUUUUUUGAUAACAUAAUUUUUAACCCUAAGACAUGUUUUCCUCUUUAGUAUCCUGGUUCCUAAAGCAUUGUUGUUGCAUUUGAUAUAGAGAUGUAAAAUAGUAUAUCUGAGCACUUUGAAAAAUAUAUCUUAAAAGCUUUAGUCAUCCUGUAAAAAAGGUCCAAAUAGAAAAAUGCCUAAGAAUGUGAAGUGAUUUGUUAGUUUGAGAACAGAAUUACAAUUAUAUGAAAAAAUAUACAUUUUAUUUAAGUUUAUAAUUGAAGCACAUUUACCAAAGCCUCUUAGAGAACUGAUUGAGGUGACCUAAUUCUUAACUAAUUGAAGUGCUAGAAAAGAAUUUGUCCUUCAUUUUGUUUAAGAUAUAACUUUUUUUUUUCUUUUUUUUGAGACGGAGUUUCGCUGUUGUUACCCAGGCUGGAGUGCAGUGGUGCGAUCUCGGCUCACUGCAACCUCCGCCUCCUGGGUUCAGGCAAUUCUCCUGCCUCAGCCUCCUGAGUUGGCUGGGAUUACAGGCACGUGCCACCACGCCCAGCUAAUUUUUUGUAUUUUUAGUAGAGACAGGGUUUCCCCAUGUUGACCAAGAUGGUCUCGAUCUCUUGACCUCAUGAUCCACCCGCCUUGGCCUCCCAAAGUGCUGGGAUUACAGGCGUGAGCCACCGCACCCAACAAGAUAUAACUUCUUAAGUAAUUUUAUCAUCUAAUGCUGAGAUUUAUUUGAACCAGAAAUUAGUACUGUGCCAGAGUGAGAGUGCUUCUGAAAGCCAGGUCUUUCUGUAUCUACUGUUGCAAGAUGGUUAUAGGCUAUCAUGUGCUGCAGUGUCUUCAUUAUAAACUGGGCUAAAAAGUUGAGGUUUAGGAAGAUUAAUUAGAUGAUAAUUGUACAGCAGCUGUGGGAGUUCUCUUACCUUUUAAGCACUAUGCAAGGUGCACCAGUUUUAUUGCAGUAGAAGGGAGGAAAUAUCUUAGUGACUUGUUUUAAAUUAGGCCAGGUAAAGUUAUAUACCCCAGUGAGGAAGCUCUUAUUAGUGGUUUUUCUUUUAAUUAUGAAAUAUUUCAAGCACAUAAAAUAUAGAGAACCUGUAGUAUAUUUUAUCUUUUGAAGUCUUAAAUAUCACAUAUAACAAAUAUGUAGUAUUAUAUAUUGUGCAAACUGCCUUUUCUAGGGGAUCAGCAGUUAUAUUUCUUAGGCUUAUCUAAAAUCAACAGGGCUAGUACAUUUCUUUUUUUGUUGUUUUAAUUUUAAUUUUUUUAAUAGAGAUAGGGUAUUACUAUGUUGCCCAGGCUGAUCUCGAACUCCUGAGCUCAAGUAAUCCUCCUGCCUCUGCCUCGCAAAGUGCUGAGAGUAUAGGUUUGAGCCACUAGGUCUGGUCACUGAUUGAAUCUUUUUAGCAGUAUUAUAUGAAUUCAUGAUAAUUUAUUUUGAAUUUUUUUGUUACUGAUAAUGCAUUAUACAUUAUUGGACAUAUUACUUUACAUAUUCAAAAGUUUAUCUAGGAUUUAUACCUAGGAAUGGAAUUGCUAAGUCAUAAGAUUCAUGUAUAUAAGGGGUAUCCAAUCUUUUGGCUUCCCUGGGCCACAUUGGAAGAAUUGUCUUGAGCCACACAUAAAAUACCCUAACACUAACAAUAGCUGAUGAGCUGGAAAAAAAAAUCACAAAAAAAAGUCAUAAUUAUUUAAGAAAGUUUAUGAAUUUAUUUUUUUCCUUUUUUGUUUUUGAGACGGAGUCUUGCUCUGUCACCAAGCUGGAGUACAGUGGCACAAUCUCGGCUCACUGCAACCUCCACCUGUUGGGUUCAAGCGAUUCUCAUGCCUCAGCCUCCCAAGUAGCUGGGAUUACAGGCACAUGCCACCACACCCAACUAAUUUUUGUAUUUUUAGUAGAGACAGGGUUUCACCAUGUUGGCCAGGAUGGUCUCUAUCUCUUGACCUCAUGAUCUACCUGCCUCGACCUGGCAAAGUGCUAGGAUUACAGGUGUGAGCCACUAUACCCAGCUGAAAAUUUAUGAAUUUCUCCUGGGCUACGUUCAGAGCUGCCCUGGACCGCAUGCAGCCCGUGGGCCAUGAGUUACACAAGCGUGACGUAUGUUGAUUAGAUACUGCCAAAUUGUUCUCCAAAGCUAUUGUACCUAAAUUUCUGUCAAUUGAGUAGAAGUUCCCAAGUUCCCUUUGUUACACACUUUUUCUGUUGCUUUGUGUCAGACAUUUUUUUAUUGCCUGGUAGAUAGGAACUCAGUUGAUUUCUUCCCCACCCUCCAUAUCAAAAUAUAAUUUACAUGGAAUAAAACUCAUGUAUUUUAUAGAUGUCAUACAGUGAAUAAUCUUUUGUGCUAAACUUCUUUCAUUUAGCAUGUUUUUGAGAUUCAGUCCUGCUGGUGUGUGUUAUUUUGUUCCUUUUUAUUGCUAUUUCAUGGUAUGAAUAUACCACAAUUCAUUCUUUAGUUGAUGGAUAUUUGGGUUGUUUCUAGUUUGGGGCUAGUAUAUAAAUAAUGAUGCUGUAAAUAUUCAUGUACGAAUUUUUGACUCAGUUGAUUUUUUAUUAUUGAUCUUUAGAAAUCUUGCUAGCCCCUAGUGUGAAUAAUUUGACUUUCUUAGAUUUUCUACAUAGAUUAUUUACAAAUAAUAACAGUUUUGUUUUCUUUUUUCUAAUACCUUUUGUUAUCGUUUGUGUAGUUGGAUCUCUAGAGCAGUGUUGAAUGGAAACAGUCAAUUUUAGUGGGCAUUCUUUUUUUUUUUUUUAAUUCUUUUUAGGUACAAUAGUGGGCAUUCUUAUAUUUCUGAACUAAAAGCGUAUAAUGUAAGUAUAAAGUUUCACCAUUAAGUAUGAGGCUUUCUGGCUUUCAAUUAUUAGCCUUACUAAUGGCUAAAGAAUUUCAUCUUUUGCUAGUUUGUAAAGAUUUUUUUUUUAAUGGAAGUUGAAUUUUGUUAAAUACAUUUUCUGUAUAUUUUAAGAUAGUCAUGGAGGUUUUUUUUCCCUUUAAUCUUACUUGGCUUUUUCUUUAAGUAAAGCUUACUCUUUGAAGUGUUAAAAUUUAAUCACUCUAAAAAUACUUUUAAUCUCUUAGAUUAACGACUUUUUAAUCUUGAGCAUACUUUAAUACCUUCUCUAUGACUCGGAUUGUAUUAUGGAACAUCAUUUAUCUAUCAUACAUGAUGUUAGUUCUUGACUAUAAAAUGCUCAAGAUAUGAGCCAUAUCUUAAUCAUGUUUGAAUUUUCUACAGUAUCUAGCACAGUAUACUGCAAAUAGCAGGCCUUAAUAAAUGCUGAACUAGGCUACUGCUCUUGCUAAAUAGCCAGUUUGUUUUACGUCAUAAUUAGGUUGCAUUUCUCCCUUCCCUCAUUAUGCUGGCUGCUGAUAUAACUUUUAUGAAUCAUAAAAAAGUUAAUAGCCAAGCUUUUAAAAAUAUAUAUAUCUAAGUUUUAGUCAUUCAUCAAAUUUGUGAGCACCAACUAAUGCCAAGCUUGGCUUGAAGCUGCCAGUAAUGCAAAAUGAACAUGAAUAGAUACUCAAAAGAAUCUUAGAGCCUAGCAGAGAGAGAUAAGAUCUUUAUGUGAAUUAUUCUAAUGAAAGAAAAGUGAUCGCUAGAAAUCUAGAGAAAAAAGAUUAGAUAGGCUUUGGAGAUUUAACAGCUCUUUCAUAUGAUGAUGGUGCAUGAGUGUGGGGUCUAUAAUUUGGCUGACCAAAGAAUCUUGUUUAUUUCCUGAUUCUUAAGCCACAUUUCACAUUGUUGAGGUGCUGAAUAAAUUGACCUGUGGAUAAGUGAAGUAUUUUGUAAGUGAAAUGCCCCAAGAAAUUGAAUUUUUAAAAACUUACAAUAGUGCCUCGAAGUGAUUUUUGAAUGAACAUGAGAAGUCAAACUCUGUAGCAUGGUUUACAAAGGUCUUUUGUGACCUGCCCCAAUUUCUUGUUCAUCAUCUCUCUUACCCUUGUCCACAUAUUGGAUACUCCAGCCAAACCACAUGUGGCCCUUGGAAAUGUCAUGCAUUCUAGCUACAUAACUUUUAAAAAAUCUUUGCCAUAUAUAUAAUUUCCUUUAACUCUUGUCUUCUGCUGAAAUAAUGAGUAUUUGUCCUUUAACAUUCCACUUAAGUACUUUCUCCCCUGGGAAGUCUUCUUGAAACUCAUCCCCUCUUAAGUGUUCUCUGUGCAUUUUACUAUUAGAGCCUGUAUCAUUUUUAUUUCCUUUUUUAUAUUUAUCUGUUUUCCAGACUGAUCCAACUGGUCUCUUUCUUGGUGGAGGAUAUCUUUCCAGUGCCUAGCACAGCUCUUGGCACAUAGUAGACAUUUAUAAUUUACUCUCAAAAUGAUCAUUGAACAGUUAAAAAUGAUAUAUGACAGUGCCUUGAAACUUGUCGUCAAUUAGCCGGUUGGGGCUGCAUAUUCGUUUACAGAUGUCUGCCUGUGCUGUUUGGCUAUUCAGUUAUGUAUUAUUGGAAGAGAAAGCCUGCCAAAUGGGGUGGGUGUGUGUGCACAUUUGGCUGUCUCAGCAGCUGAUACCAAAUGUUGGAAAUAACUAUUUCCAUCUGCCAUUUUCGUCUCCCCCCACUCUCCCUCCACCCUAAAAUUAUGUUAGGAGGUUUCUUACCUCCUUAGAUAUUUAUGUCAGACAAGGGCUCAAGCAAAAGAUGUAUACUUUAUCAUUAAAGUUUCAUAAUACCUUA
Molecule: long non-coding RNA, 14365 nt
Organism: Callithrix jacchus (white-tufted-ear marmoset)
Lineage: Eukaryota; Metazoa; Chordata; Mammalia; Primates; Cebidae
Source: RefSeq, a predicted model, not a curated record